RNAcentral lists this ribosomal RNA (338 nucleotides) under Phylloderma stenops. RNAcentral's name for it is "partial 12S ribosomal RNA". It matches the Rfam family "Bacterial small subunit ribosomal RNA", at positions 598 to 989 of the family's 1533-position model. Lineage: Eukaryota; Metazoa; Chordata; Mammalia; Chiroptera; Phyllostomidae. The record is from RNAcentral.
AACCCUAAUCAAUAGACCCCCGGCGUAAAACGUGUUUAAGAGUCUUAACUAAUAAAGUCAAACCCUAGCUACGCUGUAAAAAGCCCCAGCUACCGUAAGCCCCACCACGAAAGUGACUUUACAUAAUCUGAAGACACGACAGCUAAGACCCAAACUGGGAUUAGAUACCCCACUAUGCCUAGCCCUAAACCCAGAGGAUCUCUCUAACAAGAUCCUCCGCCAGAGUACUACAAGCCAAAGCUUAAAACUCAAAGGACUUGGCGGUGCUUUAUAUCCCUCUAGAGGAGCCUGUUCUAUAAUCGAUAAACCCCGAUAAACCUCACCAACCCUUGCCAACU